Molecule: ribosomal RNA, 1617 nt
Filed under: Triticum aestivum (bread wheat)
Lineage: Eukaryota; Viridiplantae; Streptophyta; Magnoliopsida; Poales; Poaceae
Description: partial small subunit ribosomal RNA
Source: RNAcentral
AUGAGAAUACCAGUCAAGAGGCUUCAGCACUAUAUCGAUGCAGCGCACCAACGGAUGUUCUUUCCAGACAGAGAGAACGACGAGCUCACAAUGGCCCUCGGGAAUCCUGAGCACCCUGGACGGACACGAGGCACGCCAGGCUCCGUUCCGUGGAAGGCUGGUUUCCCGGACGCAGGCGGUUACAGAUGCCAGGAGAGGAGGAAAAAAGUGGAGCAUACCCAAAUUCAGAAGCUGCACGAAAGGGUUCAAGCGCUAGAGGAACGAGACGUAGCUCGCAGCAAUCGACCUGCCGAAACUACCCCCGAAGCUACCCGGCCAUCUCAGCGGAGAAGCAGCGUGGCUUCCACCGCGCUGCUUCAGCCGGAGCAUGUCUUGACGGCUCCUGCUAGCUACCCCGUGGAUGCUAUCACGGAGUCUCAACAUGGCCACCUUAUGACGCAAUGGGAGAACUUCAAAGUCAAGGCGGCUGUCGGCUCUGUUCGACCUCCUGAACCCGGCGCAACUUUUGACUGUCGUCCGAUUCCAGAAGGAUAUGCUAGGGUGACGGUGGACGAAAUAACGGAGGGAUUUGAGGACCUCCAGCUUGACCACCCUACCGGUGAAGGGGAGACUCGGCUGGGUUCUGCUCUAAAGACUCCAUGCCUAUGGCGGAAGGAGCUCAUCAACCUUCCGAACUGGACGCCUCCGGCGAGUAAGGGCACUCCGCCUCCUCCUUCGGCGAGUGAUCAGGGCACUCAGCCUCCUUCUCCGGCGUGUGGUGGCACUCCGCCUCCUCCUCCGGCGAGUGAUCAGGGCACUCAGCCUCCUUCUCCGGCGCGUGGCGGCACUCCGCCUGCGCCGGCGCGCCCGAGCAGCCAGCCUCCUCCUUCUCCGCCUCGGCAGCAAGGGCGGAAGAGACUCGCCGUCGCUCCGGCUGCUCCGGCGCGUCGUAGUCCUUCUCCUCCGCCUCGUAAGCAAGGAAAGAAGACAGCCGCAGCCGCUCUGUCUGCUCUACCGGCGUCUAGCAGUACAGCCAGAGGCGGGAGGCAAUACAGAUUCGGUCCUUCUCUGAAGACUCCAGAGAAGUUACCAUACGAGAGGACCGAGGAGGAAACCACGAAGAUCGUGCGAGCCGAAGUGACAAACUUCUUUGAAGGGGUGAAAGCAAAGAAACAUCCACCUCCGGAGGAGAAGGUAGAUCCGAUGAAAGUGAAGCGCACUCUGGCUGCCCUGACAAAACCACCAAAGUCUCCGCCGAAAGGCAACUAUGAGCGCAUUAUUGUAAAGACAUUUGUCGAAGCGGAGCAGUCGGGAAGUACUGUCAGUGAUCAAAGGUUAAAAGAACGACGAGCUGGGAAAAAAAUUUCCCAGCUCGGCGAACAAGUGAACCAAUCGUGCCCCCCGCUCAAGUUGUCUAGCGACAUCGUCGCUAAUGAUCCGAGGAUGGUGCCCGGUUAUAUCAAUCUUGGAGAUUACCUGCCCGACGAUGUACAUUAUGAUUUCUUGGAGGUGGACGAACACAAAUACCAUUACGGGAAGCCUCUCAUCAAAGAUGAAAGAUCUCUAACAACGAUGAUGCGAAGAUUACAUGAUUGGUACAUGAAAACCUGCAGAGAGUCAGGGGGAGGGAUACUUUGA